Long non-coding RNA from Oreochromis aureus, 350 nucleotides. RefSeq lists it as uncharacterized. The transcript is spliced from 2 exons. The record is from RefSeq and is a predicted model, not a curated record. Lineage: Eukaryota; Metazoa; Chordata; Actinopteri; Cichliformes; Cichlidae.
GAUUGACUAUAAAGAGACUUUUUCACCAACAGCGAGUAUGACGUCUGUUCGAGCUUUGAUGCAGGUGGCGGUGCAGGAAGACCUCACACUGCACCAAAUGGACGUAAAGACUGCUUAUCUCCACGCUCCGAUGGACUGUGAAGUUUAUGUGGAGCAACCAGAAGGUUUUGAGAGAACAACGAACAUGUCUUUGAGUGGGAGUGUUAAGUAUUUCACUAUAAGCAAAGUCAUGUCCAAGUGACGAGAUGACGUCAGAGAGGUGCGUGCCUGCGUGCACGAGAUUGUUAUCGUUUUUUUUCUUGUGAGCAUGCGCAAUAAACGGCCAGUGUGGUUCCCAGGCCAAAAUGGAA